This 77-nucleotide transfer RNA is filed under the name Armatimonadota bacterium. Its description in RNAcentral is "Armatimonadetes bacterium tRNA-Arg". It matches the Rfam family "tRNA". Rfam says of the family: Transfer RNA (tRNA) molecules are approximately 80 nucleotides in length. Their secondary structure includes four short double-helical elements and three loops (D, anti-codon, and T loops). Further hydrogen bonds mediate the characteristic L-shaped molecular structure. tRNAs have two regions of fundamental functional importance: the anti-codon, which is responsible for specific mRNA codon recognition, and the 3' end, to which the tRNAs corresponding amino acid is attached (by aminoacyl-tRNA synthetases). tRNAs cope with the degeneracy of the genetic code in two manners: having more than one tRNA (with a specific anti-codon) for a particular amino acid; and 'wobble' base-pairing, i.e. permitting non-standard base-pairing at the 3rd anti-codon position. The record is from RNAcentral. RNAcentral also lists the same sequence under 2 other names. Lineage: Bacteria; Bacillati; Armatimonadota.
GCGCCAGUAGCUCAGUGGAUUAGAGCACCAGACUUCGGAUCUGGGUGUCGGGGGUUCGAAUCCUCCCUGGCGCGCCA